GGAGUACGGCCGCAAGGUUAAAACUCAAAUGAAUUGACGGGGGCCCGCACAAGCGGUGGAGCAUGUGGUUUAAUUCGAUGCAACGCGAAGAACCUUACCUGGUCUUGACAUCCACAGAACUUUCCAGAGAUGGAUUGGUGCCUUCGGGAACUGUGAGACAGGUGCUGCAUGGCUGUCGUCAGCUCGUGUUGUGAAAUGUUGGGUUAAGUCCCGCAACGAGCGCAACCCUUAUCCUUUGUUGCCAGCGGUUCGGCCGGGAACUCAAAGGAGACUGCCAGUGAUAAACUGGAGGAAGGUGGGGAUGACGUCAAGUCAUCAUGGCCCUUACGACCAGGGCUACACACGUGCUACAAUGGCAUAUACAAAGAGAAGCGACCUCGCGAGAGCAAGCGGACCUCAUAAAGUAUGUCGUAGUCCGGAUUGGAGUCUGCAACUCGACUCCAUGAAGUCGGAAUCGCUAGUAAUCGUAGAUCAGAAUGCUACGGUGAAUACGUUCCCGGGCCUUGUACACACCGCCCGUCACACCAUGGGAGUGGGUUGCAAAAGAAGUAGGUAGCUUAACCUUCGGGAGGGCGCUUACCACUUUGUGAUUCAUGACUGGGGUGAAGUCGUAACAAGGUAACCGUAGGGGAACCUGCGGUUGGAUCACCUCCUUACCUUAAAGAA
RNAcentral lists this ribosomal RNA (666 nucleotides) under Klebsiella pneumoniae. Its description in RNAcentral is "bacterial SSU rRNA". It matches the Rfam family "Bacterial small subunit ribosomal RNA", at positions 877 to 1533 of the family's 1533-position model. The record is from RNAcentral. Lineage: Bacteria; Pseudomonadati; Pseudomonadota; Gammaproteobacteria; Enterobacterales; Enterobacteriaceae.